GACGAACGCUGGCGGCGUGCCUAAUACAUGCAAGUAGAACGCUGAAGCGAGGAGCUUACUCUUCUUGGAUGAGUUGCGAACGGGUGAGUAACGCGUAGGUAACCUGCCUUGUAGCGGGGGAUAACUAUUGGAAACGAUAGCUAAUACCGCAUAACAAUGGAUGACACAUGUCAUUUAUUUGAAAGGGGCAAUUGCUCCACUACAAGAUGGACCUGCGUUGUAUUAGCUAGUAGGUGAGGUAAUGGCUCACCUAGGCGACGAUACAUAGCCGACCUGAGAGGGUGACCGGCCACACUGGGACUGAGACACGGCCCAGACUCCUACGGGAGGCAGCAGUAGGGAAUCUUCGGCAAUGGGGGCAACCCUGACCGAGCAACGCCGCGUGAGUGAAGAAGGUUUUCGGAUCGUAAAGCUCUGUUGUAAGUCAAGAACGGGUGUGAGAGUGGAAAGUUCACACUGUGACGGUAGCUUACCAGAAAGGGACGGCUAACUACGUG
This 497-nucleotide ribosomal RNA is filed under the name uncultured bacterium. RNAcentral describes it as "partial 16S ribosomal RNA". It matches the Rfam family "Bacterial small subunit ribosomal RNA", at positions 28 to 507 of the family's 1533-position model. The record is from RNAcentral.